This is a long non-coding RNA of Lemur catta (Ring-tailed lemur), 305 nucleotides long. RefSeq lists it as uncharacterized. The transcript has 2 exons. Lineage: Eukaryota; Metazoa; Chordata; Mammalia; Primates; Lemuridae. The record is from RefSeq and is a predicted model, not a curated record.
GACGGAAUGAAGGGUAGCUUUGGAAAGACACGUCAGCCAAUCGGUUUGCGGCCCUGCCCCCCAGACCUCAGAAUGAGACUGUGUUUGGAGAUGGAGCCAUGGAAGAGGAAAUUAAGGUAAACGAGUUCGGUGGUGUGGACCCUGAUCCCACAGGACUGGUGUCGCAAUAAGAGGAGGAGAUUACGACGCAGACACAUACGGAGGAACGACCCUGCUAGGACACUGGGAGAAGACCAACCCUGUGACACCUUGAUUUUGGAUUUAUAGCCUCGAGGACUGUGAGAAAAUAAAUUUCUAUCAUUUGA